UACGUAGGGGGCUAGCGUUGUCCGGAAUCAUUGGGCGUAAAGAGCGCGUAGGCGGCCAGAUAAGUCCGGUGUGAAAGUCACAGGCUCAACCUGUGAAUGCCGCUGGAAACUGUCUGGCUAGAGUCCGGAAGGGGCGAGUGGAAUUCCUGGUGUAGCGGUGAAAUGCGCAGAUAUCAGGAGGAACACCAAUGGCGAAGGCAGCUCGCUGGGACGGUACUGACGCUGAGGCGCGAAAGCCAGGGGAGCGAACGGG
Molecule: ribosomal RNA, 253 nt
Filed under: uncultured bacterium
Lineage: Bacteria
Description: partial 16S ribosomal RNA
Rfam family: Bacterial small subunit ribosomal RNA
Source: RNAcentral